Molecule: ribosomal RNA, 271 nt
Filed under: uncultured bacterium
Lineage: Bacteria
Description: partial 16S ribosomal RNA
Rfam family: Bacterial small subunit ribosomal RNA
Source: RNAcentral
UACGGAGGGUGCGAGCGUUGUCCGGAUUUAUUGGGCGUAAAGCGGGUGUAGGUGGGCUUCUAAGUCAGAUGUGAAAUCCCAGGGCUCAACCCUGGAAGUGCAUUUGAUACUGGAAGUCUUGAGUGUGGUAGAGGUUACUGGAAUUGUUGGUGUAGUGGUGAAAUACGUAGAUAUCAACAGGAAUACCGGAGGCGAAGGCGAGUAACUGGGCCAACACUGACACUGAGACCCAAAAGCGUGGGGAUCAAACAGGAUUAGAAACCCCGGUAGU